CAGUGGAGCGACGAACCAGGGCUUGCCCUGGGGCAGAGCCGCGAACGGGUGAGUAACACGUGGGUAACGUGCCCCGAUGACUGGGACAACCCGGGGAAACCCGGGCUAAUACCGGAUAUGCCCCCUGACAUCUGUCAGGUGUGUAAAGGAAGCUUCGGCCUCCGCAUCGGGAUCGGCCCGCGGCGCAUUAGCUUGUUGGUGGGGUAAUGGCCUACCAAGGCAGCGAUGCGUAGCUGGUCUGAGAGGACGAUCAGCCACACUGGGACUGAGACACGGCCCAGACUCCUACGGGAGGCAGCAGUGGGGAAUCUUGCACAAUGCGCGAAAGCGUGAUGCAGCAACGCCGCGUGCGGGAAGACGGCCUUCGGGUUGUAAACCGCUUUCAGUUGGGACGAAGGUCGGCGCGUUAAUAGCGCGUCCGGCUGACGGUACCUUCACAAGAAGCCCCGGCUAACUACGUGCCAGCAGCCGCG
This 473-nucleotide ribosomal RNA is filed under the name uncultured soil bacterium. RNAcentral's name for it is "bacterial SSU rRNA". It matches the Rfam family "Bacterial small subunit ribosomal RNA", at positions 59 to 519 of the family's 1533-position model. The record is from RNAcentral.